GUGAGAAAUAAAUUUCUGUGGUUUAUAAGCCACCCAGUCUAUGGGAUUCUGUUAUAGUAGCCUGAAUGGGCUAAGACAAUGCCCCGUGUAUAGUGGGCACUUAAGUAUUUUGAUUGAACAAAUGAACAAAUUUAGAUUUGCCAAUGUCAAAUAAAUAGUCAAUGAAAACUCAAUACAUAUUUUUUCAUUGGCUGAUUAGCAAAUGGGAUAUUUUGGAAAUAAAGUGAUCAUAUUAUUCUUGCCCUUUAAACGAUCACAUUAUUUCCACAGAUCAUGAUCUAGGCAUGGGUGUUAUGCGAAACAGGUAUAAAUUCUCAUUUAAAAAAUAAAACAGCGCUGGCCCUGUGGAGCAGCGGUUCUGCUUCUCGGCGCCCGGGGGUUCACCAGUUCGGAUUGCAGGUGUGGACACGGCACCGCUUGGCACGCCAUGCUGUGAGAGUGAUGCCUGGCCCUCUGCCCGAUGCCACCAGGAAUGAGCAUGGCCCCAGGGAGUACUGCCAAGUCGUGUCGGCGAGCUGCCUUCUGGGAGCCAAGUGGCCACCAGACAAAUGCACUGAUCUGCUUGCUCAGAGCGCUGUCAGGGGGACACAGUGGCUUAACUACCUCACUGCUUUAUGUGGCUGUCAGCUCUGCAUCUCCGUUCUGUGUUUUAAGCCAUUUUGUUUACAC
RNAcentral lists this long non-coding RNA (669 nucleotides) under Equus caballus (horse). RNAcentral describes it as "lncRNA (ENSECAG00000048366.1)". The record is from RNAcentral. Lineage: Eukaryota; Metazoa; Chordata; Mammalia; Perissodactyla; Equidae.